Molecule: long non-coding RNA, 801 nt
Organism: Humulus lupulus (European hop)
Lineage: Eukaryota; Viridiplantae; Streptophyta; Magnoliopsida; Rosales; Cannabaceae
Exons: 3
Source: RefSeq, a predicted model, not a curated record
UAAUUGGAUUUUUUGUUUUAUAUGAAUUAGGAUUUAAUUGAUUUAUUUGGAAUAAUUGUGUAACUUGUUUGCUUUAUUAUUAGUGUUACGUUUUAUUAAGUGUGACAGAUUAUGCGAUAGAAUAGGUUACAAUUUUUUUUAUUUAAAUGUGUGUGUGUAUGUGGAUAAUUGUUUUAUUUAUUUUUAUUAAGAAAUUAAGAGGAAAAAGAAAAUAGGUUGUCAUCUUUUGGGAUAAGAUGACGAGGCUUAUCUUUAGAUUAUGUUUACAUUGGGAUAGGGUUUAGGUGAGGUGUAAGGAGAGGAAUUGGUGGGAUUGAAGCAUAUCUUUUGGGAUUGGAGCAUAUAUGGUGGGAUAGGAUUGGAGCUUUCACACUUGUUUUCUUUCCUUAGGUCUGGGUCACUAGGUUAUUAUAAAUAGAAGAACAUAGGAGGCUUGGAAACCCUUUUUGCUGGCUACCAAAACUUGGAGAGAAAGAGAAGGAGAAGGACACAAAAAAGAGCAAGAAAAAGAGAGAAGGAAAGAGGAGAAGAAGAAGAAGGAGGAGGAGGCUAGGGUUUCGAAAUCCUAGGUGCCUAAGGAUUUAUUGGCUUUGUGUCCUUGAACACUACUAAGGAGAUCAAAGUAAGUAAAGAGAUAGAUGGAUGGUGGGGAGUUGGACCUGGAUAGUUGCUUGUGUAUUCGUGAGGGCCAUAUAGCUACUGGAAGAUCUAAGACUUAUAUUUUGUUUCUUAACUAGUAUUUUUAUUCCUCUAAAAUAAAUGUUUUUGUAUUUUAGUUUUUUUUUAAACAUCUUUUAUGAU